AAUGAGAUGCCUGAUAAUUAAAGGGGUAUAUUGAUGUUAUACAUAUGAAGAAUUUUCCUUCUCUCAUUU
This 69-nucleotide transfer RNA is filed under the name Megaginus tataupensis. RNAcentral's name for it is "tRNA-Ile". The record is from RNAcentral. Lineage: Eukaryota; Metazoa; Arthropoda; Insecta; Psocodea; Heptapsogasteridae.